RNAcentral lists this ribosomal RNA (312 nucleotides) under uncultured bacterium. RNAcentral describes it as "bacterial SSU rRNA". It matches the Rfam family "Bacterial small subunit ribosomal RNA", at positions 29 to 369 of the family's 1533-position model. The record is from RNAcentral.
AACGAACGCUGGCGGCAGGCCUAACACAUGCAAGUCGAACGCGCGUAGCAAUACGCGAGUGGCGCACGGGUGAGUAACACGUGGGAAUCAACCCUGAGGUUCGGAAUAACCGCGGGAAACUGCGGCUAAUACCGGAUGUCCCCUAUGGGGAAGGAUUUAUCGCCUUGGACGAGCCCGCGUCCGAUUAGCUAGUUGGUGAGGUAAUGGCUCACCAAGGCUACGAUCGGUAGCAGUCUGAGAGGAUGACCAGCCACACUGGAACUGAGAUACGGUCCAGACUCCUACGGGAGGCAGCAGUGGGGAAGUAUUGGG